Molecule: long non-coding RNA, 4762 nt
Organism: Carassius auratus (goldfish)
Lineage: Eukaryota; Metazoa; Chordata; Actinopteri; Cypriniformes; Cyprinidae
Exons: 4
Source: RefSeq, a predicted model, not a curated record
GAUCAGAUAUACGACUGUAUCUCACGUUCUGAUGUACCAUGUCUGUUGUAUGGAUCAUGCAUGACAUGACAAGAUACAACAAACUUAAGCUUCUUUAACCAUCACUGGCUUCCUUAACAGCAGACCAAAGGAACAAGAUAAGAGCAAUGCACCACUGUUACAUUUUGAUUUAGUUUUAGUAAUAGUCUUUUGACUAAAAUGCCAUUUUGUUUUAGUCAUAUUUUAGUAGUGUGGCCAGAGGUAUAAAUACAACGUAUUUUCAACGGGUGUUAAAACAGUGUAUGGCCCCUUUAAGAGAUCACCGAUCUCUGCUCGCGAGAUUUCCUGUUUGGCAUGUGCGUGAACAGAACAGCCAUUUCGUGAUGAUUCGAGUGUAGCAGCCGAGUGCUGUGUCGUCGUGUUGGCAACGGGGAGAUUUAUUUUGAAGUUUUGCUGUCUUCCUGGAUGAGAUCGGAUGGAGUGUGAUCCACGUGAACCUCGUGUCUGGUGAUAGUGGAAACUUCCAGUAAGAGAUGGUGAUGUACCUCAGGCUUAGCCAAGACCAAGGCCAGACAUGCCCCCUGUGCUGCAGGAUAGAGCUGAAUGUGCCUGCGCUGGACCGGUGACAGGUUUGGGGCUGAGCAGCGAGGCCCUGACAGAGCUGCUGCAUCUUCUGAGAAGUGAACAUCAACAGUGAUGUGAACACAAUCCAGACCCUGGUGUUUCUCUUCUGUCUGUACAUCACACAGAGUGGUCUCCAGAGUGUUUGACAUGUGCCUCAUUCCACUGUCCACCGCAUUAUCCUCUGAGUGUCUGAGGAGCAGCUGGACAUUCACCAAGAGAUUGACCUCCUGAAGACCCCAGAACACAUGGAGACAGGGCUCAAAAAGUGAUGUUUUUCUGAUGUUAAAUCCAAGCUUACUACUCUUUUAUUUACACAUGUGAAUAUGCAAAUUAAAAAAAUUACAGAAAGUACUCAGGCUUAUAAAAUAAAAUAAACUACAGAAAUUAGGUUGUUUCACUGACAAUGCAACAUUUAAAAAUAGAUCAUAAGUUAUGACUUUAACUAUGGAUCUAUGAGACCGAAUGAUGACCGUCACCAAGGUCUUACCUUGAAUGACGCCAUUCCUCCAGCUCUCCUCGAGACCUAAUGUAAACAAUGUCAGGUGACUGACCCCUAGUGGUUGGUUCCCUAUAAAACAUCCGGAUGAACCGAACACUUCCUCUUGCCUGGAACGCCUCAGUUCAUCCCGAGUGACAAGAAAUGGUGACGGUCAUCAUUCGGUCUCAUAGAUCCAUAGUUAUAGUCAUAACUUACGAUCUUUGAGACCGAAUGAUGACCGUCACCAAGGUCUUACCUUGGAUGACUAAUGCCAUCAAGGUCACGAGGGAAUGUAAGCCUCUCCUUCUUUACAUCCCUGCUUAGCGGCCGAGAGCAGAAUUGUGGACCCAAGUGUAACUGGGUCCGCCACAUUGACCCUGUAAUACCGGGCAAAGGUACAAGGUGAGCUCCAUGAUGCCGUUGCACAUAUGUCCGUUAGUGCCACCCCCUUCAGUGCGGCCCAGGAUGUGGCCAGACUCCUGGUAGAAUGAGCUACCAGGUUCCCUGGGACUGAUAAGCUCUGACUGGAGUAUGUGUGUGCAGUAGUGUCUACUAUCCAAUGGGAUAGGCACUGUUUCGAGGCUGGUUUUAUCGAAACACAAAAACAACUGAGUGUGUAAAUGUUGUAACGACUGUGUCCGCUCAAUGUAUGUGCGAAGUGCUCGAACUGGACAUAAGGUAGCAAGAUCAAGUUUUGUACAAGAGAGAUCAGGAUCAGGUUGAAACGCUGCAAGUUCGAUUACUUGAUUGAUCGUGCAAGUAUUAAGAACUUUAGGCAGGAAAGACGGGUUCGGCCAAAGAGAGACCCCUGAAUAGUUUGCCUUCCAUCUCAGACAGUCUUCACUUACUGCUAAAGAAUGUAACUCACACACUCUCUUUGCUGAACAGAUAGCAAGAAGAAAAACUGUUUUCCACGUCAGUGAUUUAAGAUCUGCCUGGGCCAAUGGUUCAAAUGGGGCUCUAGUCAAUGACUGUAGGACCAUGUGAAGAUCCCAGGAUGGUGAUCUCAGCCUUUUGCCUGGAUAGAGGCGACGUGCACCAUUGAGAAAUUGAGUAACCAACAUGUGUUUACCAACUGAUAAACCUUCCACAAUACUGUGGAAAUGGGAAAUAGCCGCCACAUAAACUCGUACUGUGUUGACUUUUUUUCCUGAGUCUAAAAGUGACUGAAGAAUGCAUUAAAUGGAAUCGAGACCCCAAUUCAUGGGGUCUAAGUUUUUGUCCUGACACCAGUUAGAGAACACACGCCAAUUACUCGAGUAGUUAUCCCAAGUGGAAGGUGCUUUAGCAUUGUUUAUGGUUUUCCUUACUGCCUCCUCUAGCUGACAAGAGAGGGGCUCAGUAGGGGCCAAACCCAGAGUUGUAAUGUGGCUGGGUUUGGGUGCCAGAUCUGUCCCUCCACUUGAGAGAGAAGGUCUGUUCUGGUUGGUAGUGGCCAUGGAUGGCCCUGUACCAGACAUAGGAGAAGUGGGAACCAAUGUCUCUUUGGCCAAUUCGGGGCGAUCAGUAAGAUCUUGCAACAUCCCAGAUCCACCCUUUUGAGCACAUGAGGAAUCAAUGGUAGGGGAGGAAAAGCGUAUAAUAAACCUCCCGGCCACUCGUGAGACAGUGCAUCCAGUCCCAAAGGCCCUCCUUGGCCACUCAGAGAGAACCACAUCUUGCAAUGGGUUGUCUCGGCUGAUGCAAACAGGUCGGUGUGGGCUCUCCCAAACCGGGUCCAAAUGAGAUGCACCACCUCCGGGUGUAAUUGCCAUUCCCCCGGGAGAGGUCCAGUUCGGGAGAGGAGAUCGGCUGCGCGGUUCACUUUACUCUCAGCUCCUGCACAUUGAUGUGUUCCAUAGUCCAUGGGAACAUCCAUGAGCCUCUGACUGAUCUUUCUUGCCAGACAGCCCCCCAACCUUUCAGAGAAGCAUCGGUUGUCACCACCAUUCUCCUCGCUGGUAUAUUCCCCAGAGGAACACCUUGACCCAACCUGCUGCUGCUUAUCCAUGGACGCAGAGCCUGAACACAUUUCUGUGUGACUUUCAACUUCACUCGCCUGUGUAAUUUUGGGUGGAGUUGAAAUUUGUUGAUCCACCAUUGCAAUGGUCAUGCUUUGAGCAGUCCCAGAGGCACUACCUUUAUGGCUGCCGAUAUCAUCCCCAGUAAUCUUUGGAACUGUGCCAACUCCAUUCGCUUGCCUAAGCGGAAAGAUAGUGCCAGGGCAGAUAACCUUGCUACCCUCUGUGGGGACAGAUAUGCUGUCAUUGUUAAGGUGUUCAAAACUAACCCUACAAAUACGGUUUCUUGCCGUGGUUUGACAUUGCUUUUUUUGAGAUUCAUGCGGAACCCAAGCUCUUGUACAUGGUUGAUAACAGCCUCUGUAUCUCUUAGAACCUUGUGACGGCUUGGUGCACAGAUUAGCCAGUCGUCCAGUUAUGGGAGGAUCUUUAUACCCACUGCCUGAAGAAGGUAAAGAACGGCUGACACCACCCUGGUAAAUACACGGGGAGAGAGGGAAAGGCCAAAGGGAAGGACCUCAAAUUGAUAUGCUUGGCCUUGAAAAGCAAAGCGAAGGAACUUCCUGUGAUCUGGAUGAAUGGACACAUGAAAGUAUGCAUCUUUGAGGUCUAGUGUUGUAAACCACUCGUUUGGCUCUAUAACCUCCAAGAUUUGGGCGGUGGUCAGCAUCUUGAAUGGCAACACUUUUAUGUAUGCAUUCAGACGUCUUAGGUCUAAAAUGGGUCGGAGACCACCAUCUUUUUUGGGCACAAGGAAAUAGUUCGAAUAAAACCCAGUGUGCUGUUCGCAGGGUUGUAGCUGUGUAAUUGCCUUCUUCCCAAGAAGGGUUGUUAUUUCUUUGGAUAAAAUUUCUGCCUGGACUGCGUCUUUGACCACAGUUAAGUGAAUCCCUGAAAACAAAGGAGGUCGUUGCCGGAACUGGAUUCUGUAUCCGCUUUUUAUCAUAGCGAGUACCCAACGAUCUGAGAUUUUCCUCUCCCAGCUGUCCAGGCAUAGCUGGGAGCAGAUUCCGGCAGCUCUUCCAGGAUUGCUACGCAGUUCCCCCAUAGGGGGAUUUCACUGAGCCGCUGCGAACCGUGGAGACAGUGUGAUAACUAAAUUCCUUGAUUCCAAAAUUUUUUAUUUAUUUAUUUAUUUUUUAUGCAACACCUAUCUAUGCGCGAAUGCACAGAUAAAGACAGGUGACCGAUUCCCCUCUGCUGCGAACAGCAGAUCACCAGGUAAACAAAUAAACCUCCUUUCAACUGAUGUGAAUAUAGAGCAAAAAGUUACUCACCACAUCCAUACGCUUCUUAAGCGUCGGAAUACAAUCCCUGAAAAUAUAGAAGAAAAUAUAGAAGAAAAAGGAAAAAAAUACCGCAAUCCUCAGGGGCACCAGGCGCCUGCACUAUAGUGACGGAUUGAAUGGGUACAGAUUUCCAAAUAACAGCGUAUACACGCGGAUUUCCUACAAACCGGUCUCUAGAGAGGCGAGAAAGGCAAAGAGGAAGUGUUCGGUUAACGGACACUGUGAUGAAGCUCUUAUGUGUUUGCAGUACACAAGCCACGGACGGUUAAUACUGAUGACUUCACUGUGAUGUAACCGUCUCUCUUUCUCUCUCUCUUACUCUCUCUCUUUCUCUCUCUUUCUCUCUCUCUCUCUCUCUCUCUCUCUCACACACACACACACAAUGCGUAAAA